This 74-nucleotide transfer RNA is filed under the name Candidatus Woesearchaeota archaeon. RNAcentral describes it as "tRNA-Phe". It matches the Rfam family "tRNA". Rfam says of the family: Transfer RNA (tRNA) molecules are approximately 80 nucleotides in length. Their secondary structure includes four short double-helical elements and three loops (D, anti-codon, and T loops). Further hydrogen bonds mediate the characteristic L-shaped molecular structure. tRNAs have two regions of fundamental functional importance: the anti-codon, which is responsible for specific mRNA codon recognition, and the 3' end, to which the tRNAs corresponding amino acid is attached (by aminoacyl-tRNA synthetases). tRNAs cope with the degeneracy of the genetic code in two manners: having more than one tRNA (with a specific anti-codon) for a particular amino acid; and 'wobble' base-pairing, i.e. permitting non-standard base-pairing at the 3rd anti-codon position. The record is from RNAcentral. Lineage: Archaea; Nanobdellati; Candidatus Woesearchaeota.
AGAGCUGUAGCUCAGACUGGGAGAGCACUAGACUGAAGAUCUAGGUGUCCGGGGUUCAAAUCCCCGUAGCCCCA